Long non-coding RNA from Suricata suricatta (meerkat), 391 nucleotides. RefSeq lists it as uncharacterized. NCBI's taxonomy places the organism in Eukaryota, Metazoa, Chordata, Mammalia, Carnivora, Herpestidae. The record is from RefSeq and is a predicted model, not a curated record. The transcript has 3 exons.
CCUCUUUUCUUGUCAAUGGACAUUUAAAAAUGACAUUUGUGGCUUUCAUUUUACUUUCUAACUUUCAUAGUUUUAGAGAGAAGCCAGAAUCCAUGGCACCUAUUCAUGAUCUCUUAAAUGUUCUCAAUCCCACAAGCCAGGGAUGUUGAUGGCAGCAGAGGUUAAGCUUUGGCACACUUCUUUAAGUACUCACACAGACACUGUAGGAAUGAGACUUAAGUCUAACACAUUGUUUGGUACACACAGCGACACAGAACGCUGAGAAGCCUGGAAGUCAAGAGAAAUGAUGAGUCAUUUAUUGACAUCAGACUGAAAAUGGACUUCGGAUAUUCUACACAUCAGUAGGGCCUACAUGAUCCAGUUGUUUAGAUCUCCAGGAAAUUUGUAAAUG